GGACCCGCACAAGCAGUGGAGCAUGCGGAUUAAUUCGAUGCAACGCGAAGAACCUUACCAGGGCUUGACAUUUAGUGGAAAGUUGAUAGAGAUAUCGACCCUUCUUCGGAACCGCUAAACAGGUGGUGCAUGGUUGUCGUCAGCUCGUGUCGUGAGAUGUUGGGUUAAGUCCCUUAACGAGCGCAACCCUUGUCCUUUGUUACUAACAAUUCGGUUGAGGACUCAAAGGAGACCGCCGGGGUCAACUCGGAGGAAGGAGGGGAUGACGUCAAAGUCAUCAUGCCCCUUACGUCCUGGGCUUCACGCAUGCUACAAUGGCCAAUACAAAGAGCUGCAAGAGCGCAAGCUGGAGCGAAUCUCAAAAAGUUGGUCUCAGUUCAGAUUGGGGUCUGCAACUCGACCCCAUGAAGAUGGAAUUGCUAGUAAUCGUAGGAUCAGCAACGCCA
Molecule: ribosomal RNA, 446 nt
Filed under: uncultured Actinomycetes bacterium
Lineage: Bacteria; Bacillati; Actinomycetota; Actinomycetes
Description: bacterial SSU rRNA
Rfam family: Bacterial small subunit ribosomal RNA
Source: RNAcentral